CUGUGGUUAAGUUAAUAAGGGCACACGGUGGAUGCCUUGGCGUUAGGAGCCGAAGAAGGACGCAGCGAACUGCGAUAAGCCUCGGGGAGUGGUAAGCACACUUUGAUCCGGGGAUUUCCGAAUGGGGGAACCCACCAUCUGUAAUGGGAUGGUAUCCUUCACUGAAUACAUAGGUGAUGAGAGGGCAGACCCGGUGAACUGAAACAUCUAAGUAGCCGGAGGAAGAGAAAA
Molecule: ribosomal RNA, 231 nt
Filed under: Brevibacillus laterosporus
Lineage: Bacteria; Bacillati; Bacillota; Bacilli; Caryophanales; Paenibacillaceae
Description: partial 23S ribosomal RNA
Rfam family: Bacterial large subunit ribosomal RNA
Source: RNAcentral